Molecule: ribosomal RNA, 138 nt
Filed under: uncultured bacterium
Lineage: Bacteria
Description: partial 16S ribosomal RNA
Rfam family: Bacterial small subunit ribosomal RNA
Source: RNAcentral
UGGGGAAUUUUGCGCAAUGGGGGAAACCCUGACGCAGCAACGCCGCGUGCGGGAUGACGGCCUUCGGGUUGUAAACCGCUUUCAGUAGGGACGAAUUUUGACGGUACCUACAGAAGAAGCCCCGGCUAACUACGUGCC